GCCCGGGUGGCGCAACGGCGACGGAGCCGCCUUAAAGGCGGCAUCUCUGCGGGUUCGAAUCCCGCCCCGGGCACCU
Molecule: transfer RNA, 76 nt
Filed under: Actinomadura sp. KC06
Lineage: Bacteria; Bacillati; Actinomycetota; Actinomycetes; Streptosporangiales; Thermomonosporaceae
Description: tRNA-Leu
Rfam family: tRNA
About the family: Transfer RNA (tRNA) molecules are approximately 80 nucleotides in length. Their secondary structure includes four short double-helical elements and three loops (D, anti-codon, and T loops).
Source: RNAcentral